AGUGAACGCUGGCGGUAGGCCUAACACAUGCAAGUCGAACGGCAGCACAGUAAGAGCUUGCUCUUACGGGUGGCGAGUGGCGGACGGGUGAGGAAUACAUCGGAAUCUACUUUUUCGUGGGGGAUAACGUAGGGAAACUUACGCUAAUACCGCAUACGACCUACGGGUGAAAGCAGGGGAUCUUCGGACCUUGCGCGAUUGGAUGAGCCGAUGUCGGAUUAGCUAGUUGUCGGGGUAAAGGCCCACCAAGGCGACGAUCCGUAGCUGGUCUGAGAGGAUGAUCAGCCACACUGGAACUGAGACACGGUCCAGACUCCUACGGGAGGCAGCAGUGGGGAAUAUUGGACAAUGGGCGCAAGCCUGAUCCAGCCAUACCGCGUGGGUGAAGAAGGCCUUCGGGUUGUAAAGCCCUUUUGUUGGGAAAGAAAAGCAGCAGGUUAAUACCCCGCUGUUCUGACGGUACCCAAAGAAUAAGCACCGGCUAACUUCGUG
RNAcentral lists this ribosomal RNA (492 nucleotides) under uncultured bacterium. RNAcentral describes it as "partial 16S ribosomal RNA". It matches the Rfam family "Bacterial small subunit ribosomal RNA", at positions 29 to 507 of the family's 1533-position model. The record is from RNAcentral.